RNAcentral lists this ribosomal RNA (509 nucleotides) under uncultured bacterium. RNAcentral's name for it is "bacterial SSU rRNA". It matches the Rfam family "Bacterial small subunit ribosomal RNA", at positions 501 to 1009 of the family's 1533-position model. The record is from RNAcentral.
CUACGUGCCAGCAGCCGCGGUAAUACGUAGGUGGCAAGCGUUGUCCGGAAUUAUUGGGCGUAAAGCGCGCGCAGGCGGAUUGGUCAGUCUGUCUUAAAAGUUCGGGGCUUAACCCCGUGAUGGGAUGGAAACUGCCAAUCUAGAGUAUCGGAGAGGAAAGUGGAAUUCCUAGUGUAGCGGUGAAAUGCGUAGAUAUUAGGAAGAACACCAGUGGCGAAGGCGACUUUCUGGACGAAAACUGGCGCUGAGGCGCGAAAGCCAGGGGAGCGAACGGGAUUAGAUACCCCGGUAGUCCUGGCCGUAAACGAUGGGUACUAGGUGUAGGAGGUAUCGACCCCUUCUGUGCCGGAGUUAACGCAAUAAGUACCCCGCCUGGGGAGUACGACCGCAAGGUUGAAACUCAAAGGAAUUGACGGGGGCCCGCACAAGCGGUGGAGUAUGUGGUUUAAUUCGACGCAACGCGAAGAACCUUACCAGGUCUUGACAUUGAUGGACAGAACUAGAGAUAG